This 508-nucleotide ribosomal RNA is filed under the name uncultured Glomus. RNAcentral describes it as "SSU rRNA". It matches the Rfam family "Eukaryotic small subunit ribosomal RNA", at positions 569 to 1078 of the family's 1831-position model. The record is from RNAcentral. Lineage: Eukaryota; Fungi; Glomeromycota; Glomeromycetes; Glomerales; Glomeraceae.
AGCAGCCGCGGUAAUUCCAGCUCCAAUAGCGUAUAUUAAAGUUGUUGCAGUUAAAAAGCUCGUAGUUGAAUUUCGGGGUCAGUAGGUUGGUCNUGCCACCGGUACGUACUGGUCUCACUGAUUCCUCCUUCCUGAUGAGCUGUAAUGCCAUUAAUUUGGUGUUGCAGGGAAUCUGGACUGUUACUUUGAAAAAAUUAGAGUGUUUAAAGCAGGCUAACGCUUGAAUACAUUAGCAUGGAAUAAUGAAAUAGGACGUUCGAUCCUAUUUUGUUGGUUUCUAGGAUUGACGUAAUGAUUAAUAGGGAUAGUUGGGGGCAUUAGUAUUCAAUUGUCAGAGGUGAAAUUCUUGGAUUUAUUGAAGACUAACUACUGCGAAAGCAUUUGCCAAGGAUGUUUUCAUUAAUCAAGAACGAAAGUUAGGGGAUCGAAGACGAUCAGAUACCGUCGUAGUCUUAACCAUAAACUAUGCCGACUAGGGAUCGGAUGAUGUUAAUUUUUUAAUGACUCA